RNAcentral lists this long non-coding RNA (1219 nucleotides) under Fragaria vesca (wild strawberry). RNAcentral's name for it is "long non-coding RNA (FVES_LNC000899)". The record is from RNAcentral. Lineage: Eukaryota; Viridiplantae; Streptophyta; Magnoliopsida; Rosales; Rosaceae.
GUUACUAUUUAUGGAAAUCAACUAUAAAAGGAAGGGUAAGUUUCCAUUUUGGGGGGGAUAGUUAUGCUUUAUAAACAAAAGUUACUAUUUAUGGAAAUCUACUAUAAAAGGAAUGGUAAGUUUCCAUUUCGGGGGAUUCCUUUUCUGAAAAUUCAACACUAAUUGCCACAUGUUGCGACCUCAUUCGUCCUAAGUCACUAAUCUGUCCAUGUCAUUAAAGUUUUAUUUUUUUUCCACCAUUUCAAAACUUUAAAAAUGCAUAGAAAAUAGCUCCAGUGUCGGAAAAAUUCACCGAAAAAUGUCACGGACCACUGGCGGGACCCACUUCACAACUACGUCUGAAUUUUAGUCAUUGGAAUCACAACGUACCUACUAAUGUGGUAUAACUUGUUUGGUAGGUUAUAUGCUAGUGUACAACUUUGUAAACCAACUAUAUAGAGGAAGCAAAAUUUUCAAAAAUCUCGUGAAAUAUGAUGUGAUCGGUAUAGUAAAAUACAGCUACGGUAGAAAAAUCACUUUAAUUCGCCAAUGUUUGGGCCCCGAUAGAAGCGGUCAACCUUAUUUACGCUUAUGCUUCACUAAGGAGAGCCCUAUCCUCGGGUGGUAAAUGGCCCCAAAGUUUUACAUGGGUGGUUAUGUCUCAUCUAUGUGACACUUUAUUGUGUUGAAGAAUCCACCAAACUAGGUCACGAAGAGGUAGGUAAGAUAGUUUUCGUCUUAUGUGUCUUAUGUUAAAUGUAGACUUUUCAUUUUUUAUCUUGGUUUGCUUCAAUCUCAAGAACAAUUUAGAUUUCCAGAAAGUCUACUUUUCUUUGAUUUCUCUUAUGUUAAUGGUAGCCAUUUCUUAUGAAAAAAGUUGUUGUGCCAAAUGUUAAAUGUAGACUUUGCAUUUUUUACCUUGGUUAAUUUGCUUCAAUCUCAAGAACAAUUUAGAUUUCCAGAAAUUCUACUUUUCUUUGAUUUCUCUUAUGUUAAUGGUAUAAAUUUCUUAUGAAAAAAGUAGUUAUGUCUUAUGUUAAAUGUAGACUUUUCAUCGUUUACCUUGGUUUGCUUCAAUCUCAAGAACAAUUUAGAUUUCCAGAAAGUCUAAUUUCUUUGAUUUCUCUUGUGUUAAUGGUAGCCAUUUUUUAUGAAAAAAGUAGUUGUGUCUUAUGUUAAAUGUAGACUUUGCAUCUUUUACCUUGGGUUGCUUUAAUCUCAAGAACAAUUUAGAUUUCCA